This 301-nucleotide ribosomal RNA is filed under the name uncultured bacterium. RNAcentral describes it as "partial 16S ribosomal RNA". It matches the Rfam family "Bacterial small subunit ribosomal RNA", at positions 509 to 807 of the family's 1533-position model. The record is from RNAcentral.
CAGUCGCCACGGGAAUACAGAGGAUGCAAGCGUCAUCCGGAAUGAUUGGGCGUAAAGGGCUCGCAGGCGGUUUCUUAAGUCUGAUGUGAAAGCCCCCGGCUCAACCGGGGAGGGUCAUUGGAAACUGGGAAACUUGAGUGCAGAAGAGGAGAGUGGAAUUCCACGUGUAGCGGUGAAAUGCGUAGAGAUGUGGAGGAACACCAGUGGCGAAGGCGACUCUCUGGUCCGUAACUGACGCUGAGGAGCGAAAGCGUGGGGAGCGAACAGGAUUAGAUACCCCAGUAGUCCCUGUCUCUUAUAC